RNAcentral lists this long non-coding RNA (225 nucleotides) under Homo sapiens (human). RNAcentral describes it as "HSALNT0235367". Lineage: Eukaryota; Metazoa; Chordata; Mammalia; Primates; Hominidae. The record is from RNAcentral.
UCUCCAGAGGACAGAGACAGCCGUCAGGGCCUUUGAUAACAUGGUGACGUCGAUGAUGAUACAGGUGUGCUGAGUGAGCUGUGCUGCCAGCCAUCGCAGAGGAGCCCGCGCACGACUGUGGUGGGGCCGUCGGUCUGUUCUGGUUGCCUCUUCCUGAAUGGGACGCCUGGGGCUUUCAGGGCAGGCAGCUGUGCAUGUUCUCUCAACUAAAGGUCUUGUGAGAGG